UUUCCUAUUUGCUGAUCUUUAAUUAUGAAGAUUUUCAUAUAUGAUUAGGAAAUAAAAUUUCAUGAGAAUUUUUACUUUUCAUGUAUUGUAGAAUUUUUGUUGUUUUCUUGUUUAUUUUCCUCUUAAACUUGUGGUAAAUAUAAUAUACUAUUAUACUCUUGGGUUAAUGGCCAUGUUGUCAUCUUUUCUUGGACUUCUUUAAUUAGUCCAAUCUCAUCUUCUUUAUUGAUCCACGCUUAGAUAAAAAGUUGAAAGACUUGUUGUAAUUUUUUAGCUCUCUCUCUUGUAAUGGGCUUGCUUGGUAUUGAAAUAUCCUCUCCACCAACUUGACCCAUGUCCACGCUCACAUCACGUAUCAUAUCAAAACAUAGUUCAAAUUUGUACUAACUAAUGGGAUAUAUAACAUUAUGCAUUUUGGCCAGUGAAUAUACAUAGGAGGGUUCAUAUUCUCUACCUCUUACGAUCCCUAGGAAAAAAUAUGAAAUGGGCAGUGAGUUAUGCCUCAUUUGAUAGUGCCAAACAUCAAAAUAUUCUCCUUGAUUCAAAUUAGAUUGGAGUGUUGUGGACAAAGCUUGAUGAGAAUCUGUAGAUGAGCUCUCAUCUAAUCCCAAAUAGUACAAGACCUCAUUGACUCUACCCACUCUAAUUAUCUUCCACGUCGAAAGGUCAUGUAAAAUAUAAAAUUAUGGUGAGGGGAUAAAGUAAUACUUUGAAUCCUCACUCAAUUUUCUUCCCGAGAUCAAGUUAAAUCUUAAGCAUGAGACAUAAAGGACAUUAAAGUAUCAAUGCAUCUCCUAUCUUCACUGUACUAAUGUGGAAAACUUUCACCAUUUUUCCAUUUGGCAAAACAACCAAUGAAAAAUUUCUUUUUGCAACUCUAGUGUAAAGAGGAGGUAUGCAUAUGAUGUGAUCUAAUGCUCAAAUGUCUAUGAUCCACGAGAAUAUGUUGUAUUUAAUUUGCUCUAUUGAAUAAAUAGAGAGACAAGGAUACAUUCAAGAGAAUCCUGACAUACUUAUGUCUUGAGGUUGUAAUGAUGAUUGUCUUAGGGAGAGCUUUAACUACAAUAGUUCUAUCAAUUGUGUGCACUAAACCUAGGUUAUCAUAGCCUAUCUUUGGUUGGCUCUUGACCCACCUGCAUCAGGUGAGUAAACAUGGUUGACAACGGAUUACUUAUGCCCUUCCAUAAUUUUUUUUUGAUCCCAUGGGUAUUCACACAAUAUGAAAC
This 1226-nucleotide long non-coding RNA is filed under the name Carica papaya (papaya). RNAcentral describes it as "long non-coding RNA (CPAP_LNC013711)". Lineage: Eukaryota; Viridiplantae; Streptophyta; Magnoliopsida; Brassicales; Caricaceae. The record is from RNAcentral.